AAGUCGUAACAAGGUUUCCGUAGGUGAACCUGCGGAAGGAUCAUUAACGAAUAACUAUGGUGUCUUGGUUGUAGCUGGCUCCUCGGAGCAAUGUGCACGCCCGCCAUUUUUAUCUUUCCACCUGUGCACCGACUGUAGGUCUGGAUGACUCUCGUACUCCGGUGCGGAUGCGAGGAUUGCUCUCGGGCUCUCCUCGAAUUUCCAGACUCUACGUCUUUUUUACACACCCCAAACGUAUGAUACAGAAUGUAGUCAAUGGGCUUGAUCGCCUAUAAAACACUAUACAACUUUCAGCAACGGAUCUCUUGGCUCUC
This 314-nucleotide unclassified non-coding RNA is filed under the name Coprinellus micaceus. RNAcentral describes it as "partial internal transcribed spacer region". The stretch from base 1 to 46 matches the Rfam family "Eukaryotic small subunit ribosomal RNA", at positions 1786 to 1831 of the family's 1831-position model. The record is from RNAcentral. Lineage: Eukaryota; Fungi; Basidiomycota; Agaricomycetes; Agaricales; Psathyrellaceae.